Molecule: long non-coding RNA, 3361 nt
Organism: Pteropus alecto (black flying fox)
Lineage: Eukaryota; Metazoa; Chordata; Mammalia; Chiroptera; Pteropodidae
Exons: 4
Source: RefSeq, a predicted model, not a curated record
CCCCGCCCCCGGACCCGUACCAGACCCGAGAGGCGCGGGCAGCAGGAGUGUACGCGGCAUUUUAUUAAACAGGAAGGAGCGAGGUGGGAGAGCGAGCAGGACGCCCCUUCACUCCGCAUGAGAAAGAUGAACCUCGCAAAGGUUAAGUGACUUUCCCAAAGGCACACAGAUGGCGAACGCUCAAACCUGGCCGGACCCAGGGACCCUGAUUCCCGAUCACAAGGCUGGUGCUUGACGCGCCCUCUCUCUUCACACAAUUGCCAGGAAUUUUCCGCAGGCCAUCUUAUCAGGUCACUCUUUGCUCAAAAAACCCCAGAAGCCCCCUGCCUGCCAGCCAGGAGCAGAACUCCUUGGCCUGGCGUUCAGGGCCUUCCACAGUCUCGGUCCUUUUUAGCCUCCGCUGCCACUGACCCCUCCCUGAACUUUGCCUCUCCUGUGCCAGUCUCCCCGUCGACUGGCCCUGGCACCUGGCGUUCCCUUUAGACUCAGAGCGUUUGCACAUUCUGUUCCCUCCGCUUGGAAUGACUGCCUUUCCAUCUGCCCAUUGAAAUGCAUUUGACUUCAGGACAGGGCCAGGGACUCACAGUGCGUUCGUUUUUUUCAUCAGAUAUCCAUUCAUUCAGCCCCUAUUGUGCGUCACGGGGUGAGGGAUCUAGCACUGGAGGAAAACGUGAAGCAAACAAAAUCUCACGGUCAUGAGCUUUGUUAGGGCUGAUUCAAUAAGAAUGGCUCCCGCUCAUUUUUUUUUUUUUUUUUUUACAACGUUGGGCCCUGUACUAAGAAACCGUAAGUAAAUGAACUCAAUUCAAACAACCACAUAAGGCCGAUAUUGUUAUCAUCGUCAUCUGUUUUUCAGAUGAGAAAAAGGAUGCUUGGAGGGGUGGUCACUUGCCUAGGGUCGCACAGUGACAACUAGCCCGUGUACAGAACUGCCAUAUGCCUGCAGUACGGCAGCAAAACUCAUUUAAUCCUUGCAACAGCCAGAUGGAGUAGUUAGCUCUGUUUUACAGAAGGAGAAAACCAAGGAGCAGCAUUGAAGUAAGCGCUCAAGGUCCUGCAGUCGUCACAGGGGAGGAGUGGAGACUUAAACCCAGGCCCUGGGCUGCAGAGCCCACACCUGACCACCACUCCAUUACGGCCCCCUAGUGAGCUGCCUACAGGUCUGUCGACCCCCAUUCUUCAGAGGGGAAAACAGGUCAGUGAGGACCAGGGCCAAGGCCACACCGGAGUGUGACUGGAACCUGGUUCUUUCCACUCCAUGCCCUUUCUAUAUACCAUGUGUUUGUUCACGAGGCUCUCUGACCCCCAGGCCACCUGCCCUGCCCCCGAACUGCACUGAGUUUCUGGUCUGCAGCCCUCUCAGUGUGACCUGUGGCUUUGCUGGUGUCCCUGUUUCUGAUGAACCCCCCUGGCUUUCCCGUGACCAGACUCUAUCAAAUCUGAUUCCCGCUCUCUGCCUGCUUCCUGGUGCUCCGCCGACUACCUCAGGCUGGGCUGGCUUCUGGGGAACAGAGAUGGACACAGCCCUGGCCUCCUGGAGAUGAAAGAGCAGGGCCCUUGGCAUGAAUCAUGGCAGGACUCACCGGACAUCAGGCGGCCUGGGGCUGGGUGGGGCUGCGUGGACUGAAGGGAGGCGCCCUUCUCCCAGGGUUCUCAGACCCAGCCAGGAGCCACAGGGGCCUGGGCCUGGACUUACUGGAGCCCUCUGCUGCUGAGCCUGCCUCACGAUGGCCGCCCUCCUCAGCUGGGUGAAGGCCGCUCUUUUCCUCAGGAGCUCGUUGUAGAGGAACAGGAUCCGCUUCUUCUCUCGCUGGAGCCAGGGAGAGGGGGCCAAUCGCCCGACUCUCCGCCUCGGAAAGACCCCCUCCCUCGCUCUCAUUCCCUCUGAUGCCGGAUCUCAGCAUCACUCACGCAUGUUGCUCGAUUCCACCACCGACUCCGACGACGUGUUCAGGGCCCCGAUGGUUUUCCGGAGAAGCCGGGCGAGCAUGGAGUCUCCACCGACUUUCACCUCCAAUUUGUGACUGCCUGAGGCCAGGGUCACAGUGGGGCAGGGUGCGCGUCAGGAAAGUCAGAGCCGAGGGGACGGGGAGAGGUCAAGGCAGAGAACGGCCUCAGCUGCGCUUUCCCAUCCCUCCCUGUCGCAGACACGAAGGGGGUUGGACGCGGAGAACCCCCCCUCUCCCCCCACCCGUGACCUCUGUCGGGUUGCAGGGCUGAGAGUUGACCCCAGGAAGAGGUGGCAUGAUGGGAAGAAUCGGGGCGGGGCGGCUGCGCAGGGGUGGGAGUUCCGAGGGGGGCGAGUCUCGGGGGACCGCCGCUCACUGCGGAAGGAGUACUGUAGGAAGGAAUGGUGGCGGAUGGCGUCGAAGGCGGAGUAGAGGGACCAGUCCAGCCCACACAGCACCGCCAGCAGCAGCAGAACGGGCAGCGUCUCCAGGAGCUCCGGUAUCUGCCCCAGAGCACCGGGGUGGGGUGGGCACAGAGCCCCCUCUGCCGCCUCUGCCCGCCCCCCCUCGGGUCCGUGCCUCCCCUGCCCGCCUCACCAGGUUCUUCAUUUCCAAGGCCUGGAUGGUGGGGUCGUAGGGGAAGAUGACGGCCUUCUUCUCGGCCUUGCGGAGCGGCAGCAGAGUCCGUUUGCCCUGGGAGAGAAGCCGUAGGAUGAGGGGCUCCGGGGCCCCCUCGUCCUCCCCUCUGCCCUCCUGGAGGGCGAAGCCACACGGGGCACACGGCAGGGUGGGGCUGGGCCCAGUCACCAGCUUCUUCCUGCGUUCGUCGAUCUGACAGAAGUAGGUGCUGAUGUAGAUGUUGUCAAAGCGAAUGUCCCCGUUGUAACUGUCCACAUAGGAAAAGGACCUGCGGACGCGGAUGGCUCCAUCUCGGUUCCCGUUCUCCGCACCCGCUCCCCACCCCGGCCUUCCGUAAGGCACAGUCAUUCAGCCGACCACUGAGCACCAUCUACAUCCCGGGAAGAGACUGUCCUGUCCUCCAGAAGCUCGUGGUCCGGUGCAAGACAGACACCGGAGGGGACAGAUGCGAUGGGGACUCGGCCCGCUGGGAGCGCCAGGCGCGUGCCGGCCUGUGCGUGCACGGGAGAACAUCUCCUGGAGGUUCCUUCAAGCAAAGCUCAUCCCAACCAUCAGGUCCUUCCUCUGACUUCAGUAGAGCGGUGUUUUCUGUGUGUGCUGCAUGCGAGCAUGUGAGUGCACGUGUCACCGUGUGUGUCUCCUAAGGUCCCGCAUCAUACUUCAGUUUCCCAAGGAAAAAAGUUAAUUGUUGACAAUGUGUAUGAAACUGUAAAAUUACAUUAAAUAAACUCUGUAAACAGCACAGGUUCCAGUGCUGUUCUGGGACCUUGUAA